Molecule: unclassified non-coding RNA, 279 nt
Filed under: Basidiomycota sp.
Lineage: Eukaryota; Fungi; Basidiomycota
Description: partial contains small subunit ribosomal RNA, internal transcribed spacer 1, and 5.8S ribosomal RNA
Rfam family: Eukaryotic small subunit ribosomal RNA (bases 1-47)
Source: RNAcentral
AAAGUCGUAACAAGGUUUCCGUAGGUGAACCUGCGGAAGGAUCAUUACAAAUCCACGUCUCUUAUCGAGACAAGUUGAAAUGUUAGAAGAAUUGUUGUAGUAGUAGUAGUAGUAGUGAAAAAGGAAAGGCCUCUCUCUCUCUCUUAGGAGAAGAAAUGCCUCUCCCUCUCUCCUAUUAUAUUAUUAUUACGUUAUUCUUUCUACCCUUUGACAAGUGUUGAUCAGUUGUAUACUAUUAAAACACAUACACAACUUAUAACAAUGGAUCUCUAGGCUCUU